Molecule: ribosomal RNA, 511 nt
Filed under: uncultured bacterium
Lineage: Bacteria
Description: partial 16S ribosomal RNA
Rfam family: Bacterial small subunit ribosomal RNA
Source: RNAcentral
GACGAACGCUGGCGGCGUGCCUAAUACAUGCAAGUAGAACGCUGAAGGAGGAGCUUACUUCUCUGGAUGAGUUGCGAACGGGUGAGUAACGCGUAGGUAACCUGCCUGGUAGCGGGGGAUAACUAUUGGAAACGAUAGCUAAUACCGCAUAAGAGUAGAUGUCGCAUGACAUUUACUUAAAAGGUGCAAUUGCACCACUACCAGAUGGACCUGCGUUGUAUUAGCUAGUUGGUGGGGUAACGGCUUACCAAGGCGACGAUACAUAGCCGACCUGGGAGGGCGAUCGGCCACGCUGGGACUGAGACACGGCCCAGACUGCUACGGGAGGCAGCAGUAGGGAAUCUUCGGCAAUGGACGGAAGUCUGACCGAGCAACGCCGCGUGAGUGGAGAAGGUUUUCGGAUCGUAAAGCUCUGUUGUAAGAGAAGAACGAGUGUGAGAGUGGAAAGUUCACACUGUGACGGUAUCUUACCAGAAAGGGACGGCUAACUACGUGCCAGCCGCCGCGGUAA